Molecule: ribosomal RNA, 468 nt
Filed under: uncultured bacterium
Lineage: Bacteria
Description: partial 16S ribosomal RNA
Rfam family: Bacterial small subunit ribosomal RNA
Source: RNAcentral
GACGAACGCUGGCGGCGUGCUUAACACAUGCAAGUCGAACGGAAAGGCCCUGCUUUUGUGGGGUGCUCGAGUGGCGAACGGGUGAGUAACACGUGAGUAACCUGCCCUUGACUUUGGGAUAACUUCAGGAAACUGGGGCUAAUACCGGAUAGGAGCUCCUGCUGCAUGGUGGGGGUUGGAAAGUUUCGGCGGUUGGGGAUGGACUCGCGGCUUAUCAGCUUGUUGGUGGGGUAGUGGCUUACCAAGGCUUUGACGGGUAGCCGGCCUGAGAGGGUGACCGGCCACAUUGGGACUGAGAUACGGCCCAGACUCCUACGGGAGGCAGCAGGGGGGAAUAUUGCACAAUGGGCGGAAGCCUGAUGCAGCAACGCCGCGUGCGGGAUGACGGCCUUCGGGUUGUAAACCGCUUUCUCCUGUGACGAAGCGUGAGUGACGGUAAUGGGUAAAGAAGCACCGGCUAACUACGUG